GCACCGGUUUAGCUCAAUGGUUACUUCUUACCUUGAAGUUUCAACCCAACGGACCGCGGGCUGAAGGGUUCAACCAUGGGCGCUGUCUGGUGUUUUU
Molecule: non-coding RNA, 97 nt
Organism: Xyrichtys novacula (pearly razorfish)
Lineage: Eukaryota; Metazoa; Chordata; Actinopteri; Labriformes; Labridae
Source: the annotation of a GenBank genome assembly